Arachis ipaensis is the source of this 553-nucleotide non-coding RNA. The record is from RefSeq and is a predicted model, not a curated record. Lineage: Eukaryota; Viridiplantae; Streptophyta; Magnoliopsida; Fabales; Fabaceae.
UAUAUUUUUUUUUUGCAACGAUGAAACAGUUGUUUUCAGUAGCUGAAGAAUUUGGUUACUCUAAUAAAUAGAUUCAAUUUGAUACUCCAGUUGUUCAAAUAAAAGUAACAAAGAACAUCCUGUGUUUUGGCUUUCUUUUGAUUUUAAUGCAUUCUCUUUUAUUAAAAUGCCUAUUGCUACUCAAGAAAAUGAGAAUUUAUAUUGAAAAUUUUUUCAAUCACCGGACAAAUUUACAAGUUUUAAAAUUAUGAAGGGUAGAGUAUGGAGGAGGACAGCAACUUGAGGGUCAUUUGUUUUACGGCGAAGGAUUUUAGUGUGGAUCACUUUCUGUAGAGGUGCAAAAUACAAGUUACUGUUCAGAGGCCUAUGAUUUUGUCGGAGGGUCAAGUAUAUGUGAUGAAGCACUUUUCUUAUAUUUUGAUUUUGUAAUUCUGAAUAAUUAUUUGUACAGUUGUUAAGUCACCUAUAUACUUAUAUUACUUAUAUCACCUUUUUUUUAAACCAUUAAAGUUAUUACUUUACCUAUGUCAUUUUUGAAAAUGAUUCAUUAUAC